UGCCCUCAUUUUUAUUUAUCACCCUGUGCAUUUUGCAUUUGCAAUGAAAACAAAUAUGUUAGACCAAAUAGUCAAUUGAACUGAUUGUUAUAGAUAGUUUAACGAUUUUGACUCCAUCUAUUCUCUUUCCAAGCAAAUUUUCAAUUUGUCCAAAAUAAGAGUUGAUUGACAUGACUGCUAAGAUCAUAGCUUGCAAACUAUAUAUAUAUAGUGAGAUUAUUACAUUUUGUUAAUCAUUACGUACCAUUUCCAUGAAUAGCUCUUGUA
RNAcentral lists this unclassified non-coding RNA (267 nucleotides) under Hevea brasiliensis (rubber tree). The record is from RNAcentral. Lineage: Eukaryota; Viridiplantae; Streptophyta; Magnoliopsida; Malpighiales; Euphorbiaceae.